AAAAUCUUAUAUUCAUUUAAAUUUCAUUAUUGCGCUUACACGAAGAAGAAAUGCUAGAAAUCAACAGAUGAUGAAAAAUUUAUUCCUAUCGCAUUUCUUAUUUUUAAAAUAACAGAGCGAGUUUUAAUUUGUAAAAUUAGUCAUGGAUCUCUGACUAUUAACUUUCGAAUUCCAGCAAUCCAUGGACCCCACACACAUUAAGAAUCUCUGGCGUGAAAUAUUCUUGACACCAUUGAAACGAACGAGCUCGUCUUAUUAUUAUUAUAAAUGGGAAUCGCGAAAUUUUCGACUCAGUUCUCCCAUCCAAUGUAAUUUUAUAUUUUUCUAUGCGCUUGUAUUUGAUGAGCUUCAUCGAGCGAUUCUUCGAGCUUUCAUGUAUAUCGUAAUUCCUCGCAGUUCGACGAACUAAAAUUGGAUGGGAAGAUUCUAUCUGGCACGUAUCGCGGAUUGUAUCUCUGGUUAUGUCGAACCGCACUCCCAUAUAAAUAGAAACGCCACUAUGUCCUGUUAUCGAUCUUUUGAGCUCUGGUUCGACCAAGGAUGACCGUGCACAUGACAAAAUGGUUAUAGAGUGAAAAAUAUUCCUAGAAAUUCCUAGAAAAAAUCACGAAUAUUGAACAUAUGCCAAACAUAUGGCAAAUUAUUUGCGAUCAAUGGUCAACUGAGUUAUAAAAGGCGAAUUAUCUCAGCUCAAGUAACGAGAGUUCGAGAGGAAACAAUCAAUUUCAACGAGAUGCAGCGGAUAAACAUCAUCAACUUGCAAGAGGUCUUUUGAAGGAGGCGUUGGUUCUUCCAUCGUUCUCGACGGAAGAACAGCUGGGGACCUUCGACUCCCAACUGUUAUACGUAAUCGAUGUCGACUGACUUUCUCUCUCGUGGGCCCGCCAGACGAGAGCGAUGGAUAGGAGAGAACUGGUCGCUUUACCAAUCUCGUAUUUCCAGGCAUACGUUAAA
This is a long non-coding RNA of Apis dorsata (giant honeybee), 954 nucleotides long. RefSeq lists it as uncharacterized. The transcript has 2 exons. The record is from RefSeq and is a predicted model, not a curated record. NCBI's taxonomy places the organism in Eukaryota, Metazoa, Arthropoda, Insecta, Hymenoptera, Apidae.